Anaerolineaceae bacterium oral taxon 439 is the source of this 85-nucleotide non-coding RNA. The record is from Rfam. NCBI's taxonomy places the organism in Bacteria, Bacillati, Chloroflexota, Anaerolineae, Anaerolineales, Anaerolineaceae.
GGAGAGAUGGCCGAGCGGUUUAAGGCGCUUGUCUUGAAAACAAGUGUGGGGAAACUCACCGUGGGUUCGAAUCCCUCUCUCUCCG